UAUCUUCUGUGGUGUACGUGUAUAGACUGGCAAAACUUGAGCCUAUUUUAAUUGCCAGGGAGCUAAACCGUGAUGUUGUGUGCAUACCUGGUUUACCGGGGAGCCUGAUACAUCACCUGCUGUUCCCACUUGAACAACAUGGUUCAAGUUAAGAUGUCUUUACGGCGCCACGGUUGAUAC
Molecule: non-coding RNA, 180 nt
Filed under: Gammaproteobacteria bacterium RIFCSPLOWO2_02_FULL_56_15
Lineage: Bacteria; Pseudomonadati; Pseudomonadota; Gammaproteobacteria
Description: 6S RNA
Rfam family: 6S / SsrS RNA
About the family: E. coli 6S RNA was the first non coding RNA to be sequenced, but its function was unknown until recently. It consists of 184 nucleotides that fold into an extended hairpin structure with a large single-stranded internal bulge.
Source: RNAcentral